RNAcentral lists this ribosomal RNA (464 nucleotides) under uncultured bacterium. Its description in RNAcentral is "partial 16S ribosomal RNA". It matches the Rfam family "Bacterial small subunit ribosomal RNA", at positions 28 to 507 of the family's 1533-position model. The record is from RNAcentral.
GACGAACGCUGGCGGCGUGCUUAACACAUGCAAGUCGAACGGUAAGGCCCCAGCUUGCUGGGGUACACGAGUGGCGAACGGGUGAGUAACACGUGGGUGACCUGCCCUGCACUUCGGGAUAAGCCUGGGAAACUGGGUCUAAUACCGGAUAGGACCGCACCGUGAGGGUGUGGUGGAAAGUUUUUCGGUGUGGGAUGGGCCCGCGGCCUAUCAGCUUGUUGGUGGGGUAAUGGCCUACCAAGGCGGCGACGGGUAGCCGGCCUGAGAGGGUGGACGGCCACAAUGGGACUGAGAGACGGACCAGACUCCUACGGGAGGCAGCAGUGGGGAAUAUUGCACAAUGGGCGGAAGCCUGAUGCAGCGACGCCGCGUGGGGGAUGACGGCCUUCGGGUUGUAAACGCCUUUCACCAUCGACGAAGGUUUUCUGACGGUAGAUGGAGAAGAAGCACCGGCUAACUACGUG